Molecule: long non-coding RNA, 431 nt
Filed under: Vigna radiata
Lineage: Eukaryota; Viridiplantae; Streptophyta; Magnoliopsida; Fabales; Fabaceae
Description: long non-coding RNA (VRAD_LNC005709)
Source: RNAcentral
AACAAACAUUUGAUUUCCAAUAACAUAAAAUAAAUCAAUGUUAUACAUAUUGAACCAAAUACUAGGUUUAAAUACACAAUACUUUUGUUCCAGCUUAACACAAUAGUUAAUCCUUUGUCUUUCUAACUCAUACAUUUCCUGUGUAAGGUGUCCUAAGUGCUUUGCUCUUAACUCUUCUUCUUGAACCAAUCCUAACAUAAGUCCUCAGCUGUGAUUGCUUGUCAGCCAUUCCACCUGGUGCAUCUAGCGACAAUGGACCUUCUUCAUUGUUACUCAUUCCACCCCCUUCCUCGGCCAACAAACGAACAGGUGAAACGAAUGCAUCGUCAGUUGCUGCUUGUGGACAUCCAGCACUCUGAAAAUCGUCAUCUGCAGUUGACUUUUUACUUCUUCUUUUGGCCUUCUCUUUCUCCAACUCUUGCUCUAAGUCA